GAUAUGGCUUAGGAUGAACGCUAGCUACAGGCUUAACACAUGCAAGUCGAGGGGCAGCAUGAGAUUAGCUUGCUAAUCUUGAUGGCGACCGGCGCACGGGUGAGUAACGCGUAUCCAACCUUCCCCCUACUCAGGCAUAGCCCGGUGAAAACCGGAUUAACUCCUGAUAGUUUCACUAGAUGGCAUCUGACGGUGAAUAAAGCUCAGCGGUAAGGGAUGGGGAUGCGUCUGAUUAGCUUGUUGGCGGGUAACGGCCACCAAGGCGACGAUCAGUAGGGGUUCUGAGAGGAUGGUCCCCCACAUUGGAACUGAGACACGGUCCAAACUCCUACGGGAGGCAGCAGUGAGGAAUAUUGGUCAAUGGGCGCGAGCCUGAACCAGCCAAGUAGCGUGCAGGAAGACGGCCCUAUGGGUUGUAAACUGCUUUUGUAUGGGAAUAAAGUCAGGGACGUGUCCCUGUUUGCAUGUACCAUAAGAAUAAGGACCGGCUAAUUCCGUGCCAGCCGCAGC
RNAcentral lists this ribosomal RNA (510 nucleotides) under uncultured bacterium. Its description in RNAcentral is "bacterial SSU rRNA". It matches the Rfam family "Bacterial small subunit ribosomal RNA", at positions 15 to 518 of the family's 1533-position model. The record is from RNAcentral.